RNAcentral lists this ribosomal RNA (641 nucleotides) under Jujubinus gilberti. RNAcentral describes it as "partial 12S ribosomal RNA". The record is from RNAcentral. Lineage: Eukaryota; Metazoa; Mollusca; Gastropoda; Trochida; Trochidae.
GACAAACAGAUCAAGUUAAGUAAAAUUGGUAUAAAAUAAGGUAAAAAUUGACUAAUAUAUUAAAAAGUUAUGUUUUUAUGGAGAGGUGGAAUUCGUACAUAAAAAUUUUUAUUAAUUAUUUUUUAUAAUUGAUGCCUUGAAAACUAAAAUAGAGACCGGGAUUAGAUACCCCGUUAUUUUUUUUAUAAAUUUUGAAAUUAAAGUAUUAAUUUACCUGAGUAUUACGGGUUAGAAAUUUUAGGUAGUAAUUGUUUAUUAUAAAAAGUUUCUUUGUUGCUUAAAACUCAAAAAACUUGGCGGUGCUUUAAUUCCUUCCAGGGGAACCUGUCCUGUAAUCGAUGAUCCACGAUUUAUCUUACUUUCUUUAGAGUUAUUAAUAAACUUCAGUUUGUAUACCGUCGUCGUCAGAUUACCUUUUAGAGAUAAGAAGUUGUCUAAAAAAUAAUAAGUUAAUAAGAUAAAAUUGAUAAUUUAAUUUUUGAUGUCAGAUCAAGGUGCAGCUUAUAAGAAAGUAGAGAUGGGUUACAAUAUAAAUUUUAUAAUAUGGAUAUUAAUUUGUAAUAAUUUAGUGAAAGUGGACUUGGGAGUAAUGUAGUAAAAUAAAUUAGAAUGUUUUCGUGAAUAAAGGUACUAAAGCGUGC